RNAcentral lists this ribosomal RNA (427 nucleotides) under uncultured bacterium. RNAcentral's name for it is "bacterial SSU rRNA". It matches the Rfam family "Bacterial small subunit ribosomal RNA", at positions 355 to 774 of the family's 1533-position model. The record is from RNAcentral.
UGGGGAAUUUUGGACAAUGGGCGCAAGCCUGAUCCAGCCAUGCCGCGUGAAGGAUGAAGGCCUUCGGGUUGUAAACUGCUUUUGUACGGAACGAAAAGGUGCCUUCUAAUAAAGGGCGCUCAUGACGGUACCGUAAGAAUAGGCACCGGCUAACUACGUGCCAGCAGCCGCGGUAAUACGUAGGGUGCGAGCGUUAAUCGGAAUUACUGGGCGUAAAGCGGGCGCAGGCGGUUUUGUAAGACAGAGGUGAAAUCCCCGGGCUCAACCUGGGAACUGCCUGUGNGACAGCAAGGCUGGAGUGCGGCAGAGGGGGAUGGAAUUCCGCGUGUAGCAGUGAAAUGCGUAGAUAUGCGGAGGAACACCGAUGGCGAAGGCAAUCCCCUGGGCCUGCACUGACGUUCAUGCACGAAAGCGUGGGGAGCAAACA